RNAcentral lists this ribosomal RNA (462 nucleotides) under Paraphoma chrysanthemicola. RNAcentral's name for it is "eukaryotic LSU rRNA". The stretch from base 118 to 271 matches the Rfam family "5.8S ribosomal RNA". The record is from RNAcentral. Lineage: Eukaryota; Fungi; Ascomycota; Dothideomycetes; Pleosporales; Phaeosphaeriaceae.
UGUAUUCUACCCUUGUUUGUCAUAUACUAUUAUUUCCUCGGCAGGCUUGCCUGCCGAGUGAAACCAUUUAUAACCUUUUUAAUUUUCAAUCAGCGUCUGAAAAAAAUUAAUAAUUACAACUUUCAACAACGGAUCUCUUGGUUCUGGCAUCGAUGAAGAACGCAGCGAAAUGCGAUAAGUAGUGUGAAUUGCAGAAUUCAGUGAAUCAUCGAAUCUUUGAACGCACAUUGCGCCCCUUGGUAUUCCAUGGGGCAUGCCUGUUCGAGCGUCAUUUGUACCUUCAAGCUUUGCUUGGUGUUGGGUGUUUGUCCCGCGGGACUCGCCUUAAAGUAAUUGGCAGCCAGUGUUUGGUUUUGAAGCGCAGCACAAGUCGCGAUUCAAGGCUACACGCCCGCUUCCACAAGCCUUUUUUCACUUUUGACCUCGGAUCAGGUAGGGAUACCCGCUGAACUUAAGCAUAUC